Long non-coding RNA from Pollicipes pollicipes, 234 nucleotides. RefSeq lists it as uncharacterized. NCBI's taxonomy places the organism in Eukaryota, Metazoa, Arthropoda, Thecostraca, Pollicipedomorpha, Pollicipedidae. The record is from RefSeq and is a predicted model, not a curated record. The transcript has 3 exons.
CGAAGUGGGGCGCCAUUGUUCUUGCCGGGGCCGGUGUCCCAACUAGUCGUUGUUUGGUGUUUUAUUUCUUGGUUCGUGAAUAAUCGCCAGAAUGUCGGAGGGCUAUGGUGGUGGUGGCUAUGGCAGCCAGGGAAAUGGUGGCUAUGGAGGAGGUGGCUAUGGGUCCAGUGGUGACAGAUAUGGUGGUGGCGGGAGCACUGGUGGUUAUGAGAGAAGAGGCUCAUAUGACAGAGG